CCUACGGGUGGCAGCAGUGAGGAAUAUUGGUCAAUGGACGAGAGUCUGAACCAGCCAAGUAGCGUGAAGGAUGACUGCCCUAUGGGUUGUAAACUUCUUUUAUAUGGGAAUAAAAUGUUCCACGUGUGGGAUUUUGUAUGUACCAUAUGAAUAAGGAUCGGCUAACUCCGUGCCAGCAGCCGCGGUAAUACGGAGGAUCCGAGCGUUAUCCGGAUUUAUUGGGUUUAAAGGGAGAGUAGGUGGAUUGUUAAGUCAGUUGUGAAAGUUUGCGGCUCAACGGUAAAAUUGCAGUUGAAACUGGCAGUCUUGAGUACAGUAGAGGUGGGCGGAAUUCGUGGUGUAGCGGUGAAAUGCUUAGAUAUCACGAAGAACUCCGAUUGCGAAGGCAGUUCACUGGACUGCAACUGACACUGAGGCUCGAAAGUGUGGGUAUCAAACAGGAUUAGAUACCCUUGUAGUC
RNAcentral lists this ribosomal RNA (460 nucleotides) under uncultured bacterium. RNAcentral describes it as "partial 16S ribosomal RNA". It matches the Rfam family "Bacterial small subunit ribosomal RNA", at positions 338 to 795 of the family's 1533-position model. The record is from RNAcentral.